This 788-nucleotide ribosomal RNA is filed under the name uncultured archaeon. RNAcentral's name for it is "bacterial SSU rRNA". It matches the Rfam family "Archaeal small subunit ribosomal RNA", at positions 85 to 879 of the family's 1478-position model. The record is from RNAcentral.
ACUGCUCAGUAACACGUAGCUAACNUACCCUUAAGUCAAGGAUAACCCCGGGAAACUGAGGAUAAUACUUGAUAGAAGUAAUACCCUGGAAAGAUUUUACUUUCAAACUCGUGCUUAAGGAUGGGGCUGCGGCGGAUUAGGUAGUUGGCGGGGUAAAGGCCCACCAAGCCAAUGAUCCGUAAGGGCUCUUAGCGGAGAAGCCCUGAGAGGGAAUCUGAGAUACUAUUCCCAGCCCUACGGGGUGCAGCAGGUAGGAAUCUUUUGCAAUGCGCGCAAGCGUGACAAAGCGAGCCAGAGUGCUUUUCAAUUGAAAAGCUUUUGCCAAAUCUAAAAAGUUUGGCGAAUAAGGACUGGGCAAGACUAGUGCCAGCCGCCGCGGUAAUACUAGCGGUCCAAGUCGCAGCCAUCAUUAUUGGGUCUAAAAUAUCCGUAGCUUGCUUAAUAAGUUCCCUGUGAAAUCUCAUCUCUUAAGGAUGAGGCGUGCAGGGAAUACUGCUAAGCUAGAGACUGGAAGACGUAGAAAGUACGUUCAAAGUAGCGGUAAAAUGUGUUAAUCUUGAACGGACUCACAAUAGCGAAGGCAUUCUACGAGGACAGUUCUGACAGUAAAGGAUGAAGGCUAGGGGCGCAAAAUGGAUUAGAUACCCAUGUAGUCCUAGCAGUAAACACUGCAUACUAAACAUUAGUACCUCUUCGAGAGGUAUUAGUGCUGAAGGGAAGCCGAAGAGUAUGCUACCUGGGAAGUAUAGCCGCAAGGCCGAAACUUAAAGGAAUUGGCGGGGGAGCAC